This is a long non-coding RNA of Suricata suricatta (meerkat), 518 nucleotides long. RefSeq lists it as uncharacterized. The record is from RefSeq and is a predicted model, not a curated record. NCBI's taxonomy places the organism in Eukaryota, Metazoa, Chordata, Mammalia, Carnivora, Herpestidae. The transcript has 2 exons.
CCCUCAGAAAGGGGACCCUUCUCAUGAGUGGGUCACACAUCCUUUUGACCUUUGCCACUGUUUACUUUCAACACCACCGACCAAAGAGAAGCAGAUCAAACUGUCAGCUGAAGGGUUACCAAACCUUUUGUGUAAAGGUUGGGCUGUCAGGGGGAAGGACUUGAAACGCUCAGCUCAUGUGCUCACGGUUCGUGGGGUCAGACCCACCCAGGAAACAGCAGCUUCUCGAGUCUCACCGGAGUCUUCGAGGACGGUGGUUCCUCACAGGCGCCAGCGCGAGGCCACGGAGGCCGCCCAGGUGAAUGACCGCGGACAGGCAGCUGAACCAUCAGAAAAGCACCUGUCUCUCCCAGUUGUGGCGGCAGAAGUCACCCGGCGACUUGUCGGCAUGGCCUCGCUCCAUCUCGGGGCUCCAGGGACUACUGGAGAGGAGAGACAUUCCUUCUGCCCUGUUACGUUCUGUCACGGAAGCCUGUGAAUUAAACUAAAACGGAAUAAAUUAACAGGAAAGAAUACCA